AGGCGCAGGGCGGCCUGGCCGCGCAGGCGGCCUGUCACGCCGCGGAGGGCGGCCUGUCCUACGGCCCGAUCAUCGACUGGCUGCGCAGCC
This 90-nucleotide transfer RNA is filed under the name Chloroflexi bacterium ADurb.Bin325. RNAcentral's name for it is "tRNA-Asp". The record is from RNAcentral. Lineage: Bacteria; Bacillati; Chloroflexota.